Molecule: non-coding RNA, 1374 nt
Organism: Arachis ipaensis
Lineage: Eukaryota; Viridiplantae; Streptophyta; Magnoliopsida; Fabales; Fabaceae
Source: RefSeq, a predicted model, not a curated record
UGAGCUUAAUACUUGAUUAUUGCCGAUUUCAUCAAGUACCAGGUCGCUCAAACAAGGAGCGGAAGUCUUAUGAUGAGAAAUUCAUGCGGAUGGACACGAAGCAGUUAUGUGAGUUGACAUCUGCUGCAGACAGCCUUCAGUUGAAACCAUUGGUUGAUCUUACCAGCCGUACACUUGCUCGAAUAAUUGAAGGAAAAUCCCCUGAGGAAAUACGCGGCAUAUUUAAUUUGCCAGAUGAUCUUACAGAGGUAUCUGGUGCUUGCAAUAACCAUGAUUCAAUUCUUUUUUCGAUGUCAGUUUUGCUGUUGCUUGCAAUAACCAUGAUUCAAUUCUUUUUUCGAUGUCAGUUUUGCUGUUUUUAGACAUUCUAUUUGAUCCAGGAAAAGAAAUUGGAGCCCUUGAAAAACACAACUGUUGAUCCGAGGAUCAGGCUUGGAACCGCUUGUAACUGAGCAUUUUUCGAUCCCCUUUACAUGAGUUUUACUUAAUGCUUUUUGUUGUUGUUAGACCGAUGAAAUGGUGCAACUUCGUCCUAGUUGAGUAAUUUCCAUUUGAUGUAAUUUGUUGACCACAUGAAACUACCUCUUCUACGCCUGUAAGAUGAGCUUACAAGUUGAUUCAUGUCCAUCUUGACAACAUUGAAACUCGAAAUUAGUAGUACUCAGUUCUUUCGUUAAUGUUUGUCUGCAUCAAGUAUAGACAGUGUAGGUGGUCCAAUGAUCUUGUUGAAAUGAAGAGAAGAAAUAUACCAAAAGGUAGGACUGUCAGGACAAAGAGAUUUUUUUUGGUUGUUGAAGUAAAGCCUUUAAUAUGUCAGCCACUCACCAUAUUUAGAGGGAAAGUCCGCUAUAAGGGCCAUGUGCUUUACUUUAAAGAGAAUUGAAAUGUCUAAUCCUAUUCCACAAAACUCGCUUGUCUAAAAAUUUAUCAGCGAAGGUUUGAAAUUACGCUCCAACUAACUAAACAAUAUAUGUUUCUCGUCUAAAUUUCCUAGUUAUACAAUCAUUUCAUUCAUUGGGAUUUAUAUUUAAGCUUUUGUGUUUGACAAUGUCCGGAAACUCUUGAGUCUUGAGUAGUGGUCUUCUGUAGGCUGUAGCCUUUUAUUUUAUUUUCCUGUUUCAUCUGCUUGGGGAUGCAGAUGCCUAACUGUUAGUGAGAAAUUUUGUUACAGAUCCAAAGGAGAUGCAAAAUUCUAAGAAUAAAAAUAAAAACCGAAGAAGAAAAGAGCAACAGACGAGCUCUUCUUUGAAGGAAGCUUCUGAACUGAACAAUAAGGAGAUAAAUGGCAAACUGAUGGAACUAAUGGAGUUUCCGAGGCCUCUCAGUCUAAUACAGAAGACAGCACUUUUGUUCCUAGAGAGUUUGAUGAUGGAG